Non-coding RNA from Triticum aestivum (bread wheat), 115 nucleotides. The record is from Rfam. NCBI's taxonomy places the organism in Eukaryota, Viridiplantae, Streptophyta, Magnoliopsida, Poales, Poaceae.
AUGAUACUCCCUCCGUUCGAAAUUACUUGUCGUAGAGAUGGAUGUAUCUAGACGUAUUUUAGUUCUAGUUACAUCUAUUUUCGAGACAAGUAAUCCCGAACGGAGGGAGUAGGUU